GGUCUGCAACUGACGCUGAGACUCGAAAGCAUGGGUAGCGAACAGGAUUAGAUACCCUGGUAGUCCAUGCCGUAAACGAUGAGUGCUAGGUGUUGGAGGGUUUCCGCCCUUCAGUGCCGGAGCUAACGCAUUAAGCACUCCGCCUGGGGAGUACGACCGCAAGGUUGAAACUCAAAGGAAUUGACGGGGGCCCGCACAAGCGGUGGAGCAUGUGGUUUAAUUCGAAGCUACGCGAAGAACCUUACCAGGUCUUGACAUCUUGCGCCAACCCUAGAGAUAGGGCGUUUCCUUCGGGAACGCAAUGACAGGUGGUGCAUGGUCGUCGUCAGCUCGUGUCGUGAGAUGUUGGGUUAAGUCCCGCAACGAGCGCAACCCUUGUUACUAGUUGCCAGCAUUAAGUUGGGCACUCUAGUGAGACUGCCGGUGACAAACCGGAGGAAGGUGGGGACGACGUCAGAUCAUCAUGCCCCUUAUGACCUGGGCUACACACGUGCUACAAUGGACGGUACAACGAGUCGCGAACUCGCGAGGGCAAGCAAAUCUCUUAAAACCGUUCUCAGUUCGGACUGCAGGCUGCAACUCGCCUGCACGAAGU
Molecule: ribosomal RNA, 595 nt
Filed under: Limosilactobacillus fermentum
Lineage: Bacteria; Bacillati; Bacillota; Bacilli; Lactobacillales; Lactobacillaceae
Description: bacterial SSU rRNA
Rfam family: Bacterial small subunit ribosomal RNA
Source: RNAcentral